Molecule: long non-coding RNA, 3022 nt
Organism: Passer domesticus (house sparrow)
Lineage: Eukaryota; Metazoa; Chordata; Aves; Passeriformes; Passeridae
Exons: 2
Source: RefSeq, a predicted model, not a curated record
AGUGGCGGGGUGAAUAAUCAAAGGUCAGUUCUCCACCAUCUGCCAGAUCUUUGAAAGGCCAGAUUUAUUCACUCACUGUGAUUAUGGUGUGAUUGCACAUGCCAUGAAAUCCUACUUAGGACUGCAAGAUUUCGUGAGAACUAAACCAGAGCUGGGCCUGGCCUCUCCUUGUUGUGGAAUGGCUGUUAGGAAAUCCCCUCUCCCUGAACUUCAGGCCGUGCGCGGUCCAUGGUUAAUGUCGCAUUCCUCCAUAAGCAGACGGACUGAAAGAAUUUUAAUACCUCUCUGGACCUAAAUGAUCAUUCCUUCCACAUUCUUUGUGGCUUCAUGGUGUUUAUGAUAAUUCUUGCUCGGGAUCCAAUCUCUAUAGUUUAUCCAGCUGUGCCUUUGAUGUCUGUGCUGUGGUCUCCAGGGACAGAAGUCGUGAACGAGCGGUUAGUGAGCGACACCCAAGGGGUUGUGACAUCUUUAACAUAAACUCGCCAGCAUAAGGUUUUUUCUCUGAAAUGGAUUAAGCAAUUUAUUUAGCUAUAAAACCCAGAAAACUAGUUAAGUGAAUUUUACUGGGAAAUCAAUGAAGUAAUAAUUAUGUGGUAAUAUAACUGGGACUGAGGUAACCAGCUUUGGUCUUCUUUUCUUUGUUAAUCCAUUCCUUCUAUCCUCUUUAUCCCUGUCUUUUUUGAAUAGCCACAAGUUAUUCUGAUGAGAGAACUGAAAAUGCAUAUUGGGAAAUCUUUGAGCAUAUUAACUUUUGUACAGUGAAAUCUUUCUUUCUUGUCUUUGCAAUAGAUGCAAAAAAGAACCCAUCCAGAAUUCAUUAACAAAAACAUUAUCUCAGACUCAUAUUUUUGGAUUCUGUUAAAUUUUCCCCAUUUAUAUUUCAUAGAAUGCCAUCCUAAUCCUAUCUGAGGCAUGCCUGUAAGCUAAAGAUAAAUAUGUAAAACUUACCUUUGAAUUGAAUGGUGUCUAACUAUUGCUGCUUUAAAAAAUAAUAGCAAGCCCCUUGACAUUAUCCUCAGCAGAGCUUCAGAAUUUGCAUGAAGGCUGCAGAUAUUACAGUUACAUAGGAAGCUUUUUCUUCUGAUAAUUAGACACAAAUUAAUUAAAAAUAAACUUCAGUUGUUAGGCUGUUAUAAAUAUUAAGAGAUGAUAAAUUGCUAGAAAAAAACAGAUCUUCAUACAUCAGUUAGUUCACACUUGCAUUUUAGAGUAGAUUAGUUAGAUAAAGUAGUGAGCACAUUAAAGGCUUAAAUGGUUUUCAAAGUUCUUUUGCUUUCUAAAAAAUGAUGGGAAAAAAGCCCCAGACUCAUCAGUUAUGUGCUGCAUAUUAUUUCUCACAGAAGAAUCCUCCUGAAAGCCAGAUCAUAUUGUACAUAUUACCGAUCUAUUUGCAUUUAGGAAUUUCAUUCCUGUGUGUGAACAGAACACACACAUCUGAAUUCCAGGGAAAUUAAAAAGGGUAGGACUGAAGGUCUUUUAAAGAUAAUUUCCUUUCUUUUUCUGCAGCCUGAAAUGUCUCCAGGAAUCAAGUCUGUAGUCAGCAGGAAUGAGACUGAAAUGAUACACUGAAUAAUAAAAAUGACCCCAGCAGUAGUAACAUGAAGGAUGUGCAGAACUGCGACACUGCAGACAAGUGCUGCUGUCACCUGUUUUGUGAGUGCAAGAUGCUCCACACCCACGUUGGAAUCAGCAGAGGAGUCUCCCCAGAGGUGUGGUCCCCUGGGAGCUGGCUGUCUGGCUGUGGUUUUACACAUUCAGCCAGCUCAGACAUCUGAAUGCAAAAUUCCACACUUGGGGGUGAGAUGCAGAUGUUGUGCUCUUCUCUGGGGAGUUCCAGGUCUAUAAAACAAUGGAUGGAUUUCACAGUACUCAUCCAUAUAUGUAGCCUUUGAUCUGUGACAGAUGUGAUAUUGAUAAUAUCCUCCAUUCAAUAAGUCCUCCAGGUAUAAUUUUGUGCCAGGUUAAAUUUCUGAUUUAACUGUUGAAGAGCCUACUGUGUGAAAUGCUGUUCUGUAGAACUGACUGGGGAGCAUGACCAUGCUCAGACACAAGUCUGGGGUUACAUAGCUCUGCUGCAGACUUUGGCCCUAAUCCUUCCCACACACCUCUUAUUUGAGUGUAAAUCCAGUAGUUCUCAUUUCCCAGCUGAUCCCUUGUAUUUUUUAUGUGGCUGGUUAGCUCAGAGACCUCACAUCCUGUUCCCCUGCAGGGAUACUGCAUGGAUUUUGUGCUGUUAUCUGAGUCUGAAAAAUGAUGAGCUGAAAGGCAGCUUAAACUCUUUGUGUAUAAUAGUGGAAGAUUUGUUUCACCCUCCCAUUUCUCUUGUACACUGUGAAAGCUGUGCUUUCCCUUGAAGGUUCAUUGGUCUGAGAAACCAUUAGAUUGGACUAAUCUCUAUACAAAAAAGUAAAAAAAAACCCAUGCUCUGAGGGCACUGGAUAUGAACAAUCUCAGGCAUAGCCUUGUGACUGAGGGAAAUCUGUUUGGCCCUGAUGGGACAGGGGGAAGGAUGAUGGGGGAAGGAUGGCUGUGCAGUGAGGAGAGGCCUGUGAUACAGAGCAAAGAGUCCUGCUCCUCCUGUCUCUCAAUGAACAGGAGUCCUGUCCCUUGCUCGGUGGUGUGCAUGUUGUUGAUUCUUAAUAUGUAAUUACAAAUGCACAGGAGGAAAGGAGCAGGGAAUGUUUGGUUUGCAAAUGCUGGUAUCUGUUUCAAAGUUGCUCCUCAUGUGACUUUAACUGGAGGGCAGGUCAAGAGUGGUCCAAGGAGGGAAGAAUCCAAAUUGAUGGGAAAAUAUUACUGCCCCAUGAAUGCUUGCUGCUGUGGUUGCACCAAUGCCAGCAGGAAUGUGCUGGUAGAGCAUCUGUGUUGUACCAGUCAAGAAUUUGGCAGCAGGUAUCCUAGCGAGCUCAUUCUCAGGUCACUUUUUCAAACAGCUAUACCAGCAAUGGAUAGAAAACUGCCUGAAAAAAUUUAGAUUAUUCUUCUUUGCCUUAUUUCCAUAGAAUAUGCUCUGUGUCAAAAA